CGGGUGAGUAACACGUGAGUAACCUGCCCUUGACUCUGGGAUAAGCGUUGGAAACGACGUCUAAUACCGGAUACGACCAGCCUCGGCAUCGGGUGUUGGUGGAAAGAAUUUUGGUCAAGGAUGGACUCGCGGCCUAUCAGGUAGUUGGUGAGGUAAUGGCUCACCAAGCCUACGACGGGUAGCCGGCCUGAGAGGGUGACCGGCCACACUGGGACUGAGACACGGCCCAGACUCCUACGGGAGGCAGCAGUGGGGAAUAUUGCACAAUGGGCGAAAGCCUGAUGCAGCAACGCCGCGUGAGGGACGACGGCCUUCGGGUUGUAAACCUCUUUUAGCAGGGAAGAAGCGAAAGUGACGGUACCUGCAGAAAAAGCACCGGCUAACUACGUGCCAGCAGCCGCGGUAAUACGUAGGGUGCAAGCGUUGUCCGGAAUUAUUGGGCGUAAAGAGCUCGUAGGCGGUUUGUCGCGUCUGCUGUGAAAACCCGAGGCUCAACCUCGGGCCUGCAGUGGGUACGGGCAGACUAGAGUGCGGUAGGGGAGAUUGGAAUUCCUGGUGUAGCGGUGGAAUGCGCAGAUAUCAGGAGGAACACCGAUGGCGAAGGCAGAUCUCUGGGCCGUUACUGACGCUGAGGAGCGAAAGGGUGGGGAGCAAACAGGCUUAGAUACCCUGGUAGUCCACCCCGUAAACG
RNAcentral lists this ribosomal RNA (691 nucleotides) under Microbacteriaceae bacterium PE-R2A-24. RNAcentral's name for it is "bacterial SSU rRNA". It matches the Rfam family "Bacterial small subunit ribosomal RNA", at positions 103 to 808 of the family's 1533-position model. The record is from RNAcentral. Lineage: Bacteria; Bacillati; Actinomycetota; Actinomycetes; Micrococcales; Microbacteriaceae.